GGGAAGGCAGGGGGAGGACAGGAGGGAAGUGAUGGAGGAGGCAGGGAAGCCGAGGGGAGAGGAGACGAGAGGUGCGGAGGCGCUGGCCUUUUUCUUGGUGCCCAACGCCCCUGCAGUGUAGCUCGGCCGUCUGGGAAGCCGCCAAGUUCGCGCCAGCCAGGCUCGCUCUGGGCGCGCCCAGCACUUGCCUGCGACGUGGAAAACCUAGAGAGCCCUAAAUCUCAGGGCUAAUCUCUGGGUACUUUGAGGAAAGCGUCAGGGGGCCUCGAGUCCCGCGGAGUUUUUGCGGAUGCGCCAGGCCGCGUGGGGAUGUGCCGCAGGGAAGAAGCAGUCUUGGAAACUCUCCCGCCCUGUUGGCAGCUGUCGGUGCCUGUGUUCUUUCUAGUAAGUGUGGCGGUUUCCUUUCCCUCAAGUCAUUCUAUCAAAGUCUUGGAAGCAAACUAAAAAAAAAAACUAGUCUGAAUUAGAAAGUUAAGUGAAGACGGCCUUAUGGGUUUGCGCUGCUCAGGUUUAUUCGUAGCUUCUUUUGGGUCCUUCUUCUCUCUCGCUCCCACCUUGAGGCAGAAACAUAGAUUAGGGACUUGCCGGAUGUCUCUUAUUUUCUACACUAGUUUGAACCUUUCCGCCGGAACUAUGUAUAUUACUUUCUCAUAGGUUUGUGAAUUAACAAACAGGAUUAUUGCAGUUAAUAAGAAGAGCUAAUAUGUAGUACUCGGGGCAGGCACUAUUUUGUUUACAAACCUGUGAUUAUUUAAUUCAUCAACUGUGUGAAGUCGGGGCUAUUGUCCCAUUAUCCAACUUACUUCAUUCCUUAGAGAUGAGGAAAUUGAGGCAUGGUCAAGUUAGAUAACAAGGCCUCUUCUAGCCUGUAAGUGGAAGAGAUGGAAUUUGAACGCAAACUGUCGGAGGUAAAUGCCAUGCUGUGGUCACAAUGUUAUAGAAAUUACCCACUAGCGAGCAUAGUUGUAUUGAAAUAUUAAACUUAUAAUUAGGUGGGAUUUUUUUUUUCCCUUUUACUUAUUUAGGCUUCCUGAAGUUUAUUUUGGCGAAAUGUCCAAAUUUAGUGUGGACAGAGCAGGACUCACAAUUUAAAAAGGAAACUCUCAAUAAGAAACCAUGCAUUCCAAGGCAGUGUUACAUUUUUCUUACAUGCAAGGUUAUUGCAAUGUUUGACCUGGGAAGUUAUUUUCCUUAGGAGAAACAUUUGUCUUGGUAUACCGUGAUCCCCGAGAACAUGGCGAGCCCUCCAGGAGAAACUCUUCAGUCAUCAGUGUUUGAAAACUAAAUAUUGAUUCAAAUGUACUCAAGAAGUGAGCAUCCUUGACAUGGUCGAUGACAUGAUGUCAAAUGAAAAGGAAAUUUCCCCAAAGAAACAUAAGUAUUGGGUGGAGUCAGGGAAGAUACUCAGGGAGUUCCCUUCGUGGCUCAGUGGUUAAGGAACCCCACUAGGAUCCAUGAGGAUUCCAGUUUGAUCCCUUGCCUUGCUCAGUGGGGUAAGGAUCUUGCGUUGCUUUGAGCUGUGGUGUAGGUGGAAGACGCUGCUUGGAUCCCGUGCUGCUCUGGCUGUGGUUGUAGGCCGGCAGGUGUAGCUCCACUUCAGCCACUAGCCUGGGAAUUUCCAUAUGCCUCGGGUGCCUGGGAACUUCCAUGUGCUGUGCUUGUGGCCCUAGAAAGCAAAAAUAAGAAAAGGGAAGAUAUUCGUUUUUUUGUUUUUUUUUUUUUCCCUCCAUUUUCUUUCUGGAGUCUUCUUCCCUGUCCUUGAACACUUCUGUGACCUCCAAGACUGGGUUAGAAGCCUCUUCUGUGUGCUCCUGUGCACCCAGAAUCUGUGCCUGCAGUGGUACACUGUUUUCUCAUUGCUUGUUCACCUAACUACCUCCUGGGAGAUUCUUAAGUUUCACGAAGGGCAGACAUUCUGUCCUUCUCAAUAGUAUGUCUCCAGAACUCAGCACAGUUGUCCUAAAAUUGGAGCAAUACUGACUGGUUAAAAUGAUGGUUUUUACUGGUCAGCCUUGUCUUGUUAGGAUGUACUGAGUUGGGAUUUAACAGAAACUGUGAGACCAAUGUAUCCAUCAGAAGCAUAGUCUCUAAACAGACCUCCCAGUUUCCUCCUUUCUUACAUUUCCUUGAAUUCCACCUACAUACUUUAUCUUAUCUAUCUCUCUGUCUCUCUCUAUGUUAUCUGUGUGUAUACCAUCUAUCUCCCUCUAUCUCUCUAUCUCUCUAUCCAACUGUCUGUCUGUCUAUCUGUCUUUACCACUGGAUAUAAACCACACAGUCAGGGAUAUAUAUUUUGUUUCAGUUUGGGUAUAUAUCCCAUUGUCCCACUUUUUGCACCCAUUUGGCACAUAAUAGUUUUUUUGAUAUUAAAUAAGAACAAAAACAACCUCUGAAAAUUUUAACUUUAUUUUGGCACCCAAUUAAUAAAUAACUGCAGCCUUAAUCCUAACGUCACUGUUUGGGGUCUGUAAGAUGAUAGAAUCAUACGAUUUUUUUUUUUUUUUCCCUGAAGGGGACCUGAUAAUUAUGUAAGCCAGCUGGUAGACACAGGCUAUUUCAAUUUAAACUGACUAAAAUAAAAUUAAAAAUUAAGUUACUCAGCUUUUGCUUCCUUUUGGGUGCUCAGUAGCCACAUGUGACUAGUGGCUACUCUGUUGGGCAGCCUUGAUACAGAGAUUUCCAUUAUUGCGGAAAGUUCUACUGGGCAGAGCUGACAAGUUACAAAAAAUAGGUUAAAGGGCAUAGUUUCAUUAGCUUAAAUAUAUCACUGCUACUAAAAAAUAUUUCAGAUGGCAUAGCAGUUCUUUUACAUACAAAGAGCAUCACAUUCUUAUUUCAGAUGUCUGCUAUUUCACAUAGAUAAACAUUUUUUUUUCCUUAACAGUUGUGGUUAAAUUAAUGCACAUUUAAACAUAUGCAGAAGAGCCUGUGGUUCAAAAGGAUUCCUCUUUGUAGUCCCUUAAGGUGAAUAUUCACCCCAAUCAAUCCUUUGUGAGUCUUCACUUUUUUCUGGUUAAAAAUCCUCUGAUCAACUUGAGUCACUGCACAAGUUUGACAUUCAUUCGCUUCGGCUGUGCAUUUUAAGCUCGCAUGAUUGAGGAGCUAAAAUACUCAGUAAUGUUGGUAAAGGCCAAAUGCCAGAUAGUUUUGGACUGACCAAAUAUAUAUUUAAUGACAUCACACAUGCCCUAAGACAGUUUUCAAUUUACAAACACUCUAUUCAGAAGCAGCCCAGAUAGAAAACAUACUGGCGUACUUUCUUUAAACUCUUCCUUAGGACAGUAUUGCCAAGGUGCCCAUUGUACAAAAAUUAGUCAAUAAAAAAAUAAAAUAAAUACUGCAAUUCUAAGACAAUGGAUAGUGUAAGUUGUGGGGGCAACAAAGAAGCCGGAGUGAAACCUUGGGGAAUUAGUAGAGGUUAUUUCCGCAGUAGAGCAGAUUUGCUUAAGUGGUAACCCCCUGACAAAAAUAGUCUAGAGCCACCUUUCUCCCUCUGGCCCCGCCCCUCCUUGCCCUGCCUCUCUCCCACUCCCCUGUUCUUACAAUUCUUUUUUUCUUUUUUUGCGUUUUAGGGCUGCGCAGGCAACAUAUGGUAGUUC
This 3599-nucleotide long non-coding RNA is filed under the name Sus scrofa (pig). Its description in RNAcentral is "lncRNA (ENSSSCG00050034747.1)". Lineage: Eukaryota; Metazoa; Chordata; Mammalia; Artiodactyla; Suidae. The record is from RNAcentral.